Drosophila pseudoobscura is the source of this 1226-nucleotide long non-coding RNA. RefSeq lists it as uncharacterized. Lineage: Eukaryota; Metazoa; Arthropoda; Insecta; Diptera; Drosophilidae. The record is from RefSeq and is a predicted model, not a curated record. The transcript has 2 exons.
UUCCUAAACUUCAUUAAAUUCAAACAAAAUGAAGAUCUUCGCUUGUGUGAUUGCUGCUCUCCUCCUUUCGUCAGCUAACGCCUACAGAGGACCUAUGUCUUCUCACACCGAUGUCAGAGAUGACAAAAAAUAGAGAUAUAGCUAAAUCGUAUAUCCCUGAUGGAAUAAUAGAACGAAUACGAUGAAAUAAAUUCCUUUUUGAAGUAUUUGAAAAUGGGUUAUUGUGGAAUAUCAAUUCACGUUCCUCCCAGACUUAAAUUACGUAUAGAAUACAGAAUAUGUGGUAUAUACGGUAUAAGAAGCAAGAACGGAACGCGUGCUGGUCUCAGUUUAUGCACAUUUGGUUUAAGUUGCUUUAGAUUUUGAUCUAUGAAAGACUAUCCAGACUGCUUUGGAUUUAGAAGGUUUGCUACGGCCCAGCCAUUAGAUCAGAUGGGUACACAACUUUCUCAUAGUUUGCUUUAAGACUGUAAAUAUUGCUGACGAAGCAAGAGAAUGUCUUAUCGGUCCUACUUUGGCCUGCAGAACGGUCCAGCUUUAAAAAGGGUUUGUGGUUACUCGAGAGCUGGAAAAUAUUUUAGAAGAGGCAUUGUAUAGCGCGGAGAACAUCAAAUGUAGUGUUUAAUACCCUAUAGGCUUCGGAUUGAAUUAAAUGAUUCUCAUUUUAUCUCGUGAGUUUCAGUAAUCAAAUCAAAUUCAUUUGGCGUGUCCCUAAAAAUCCAGAAAAGUGAUUUCCAUGAACCGUGUACCCAAAGGAUACGAGCUCUCCAUAGAAGUGGUUAGGUAAUGCAUACUAUUUCACGGCUUGCGUAACAAAUUGGAUAAUUUGUUUAAAAGAAAUAUGAAUGGAAUGCGUUCCUAAUGCAUUUAAAAUUGUGUUUUCCGAAUGAAUUCUUACCACUUCUUCUUGACAACUGAAGAGAUUUAUUUGCUGAAAAGCUAAAUGAAUUAGAUAAGCCUAUUAUUCCGUGCCAUUUAGUCUGCAGCGGAUGGCUAUAUAAACUCUAACUGAUUCCUAAACUUCAUUAAAUUCAAACAAAAUGAAGAUCUUCGCUUGUGUGAUCGCUGCUCUCCUCCUGUCGUCAGCUAACGCCUACAGAGGACCCAUGUCUUCUCACACCGAUGUCAGAGAUGACAAAAAAUAGAAAUAUAGCUAAACCGUAUUUCCCUGAUGGAAUAGUAGAACGAAUACGAUGAAAUAAAUUCCUUUUUGAAUUAUUUGAAAA